GUCUUGGUAGUUCAGUGGUAGAAUUCUCGACUUCCAUGCAGGAGACCUGAGUUCAAUUCCUGGCCAAUAUA
Molecule: transfer RNA, 71 nt
Filed under: Loxodonta africana (African savanna elephant)
Lineage: Eukaryota; Metazoa; Chordata; Mammalia; Proboscidea; Elephantidae
Rfam family: tRNA
About the family: Transfer RNA (tRNA) molecules are approximately 80 nucleotides in length. Their secondary structure includes four short double-helical elements and three loops (D, anti-codon, and T loops).
Source: Rfam by way of RNAcentral